This 259-nucleotide ribosomal RNA is filed under the name uncultured bacterium. Its description in RNAcentral is "partial 16S ribosomal RNA". It matches the Rfam family "Bacterial small subunit ribosomal RNA", at positions 524 to 776 of the family's 1533-position model. The record is from RNAcentral.
UACGUAGGCAGCAAGCGUUGUUCGGAAUUACUGGGCGUAAAGAGUGUGUAGGCGGUGCUCUAAGUUCGGUGUGAAAAUCUCCUGGCUCAACUGGGAGGGUGCGCCGGAAACUGGGGGUGCUGGAGCGCGGGGAGAGGAAAAGCGGAAUUCCUGGUGUAGCGGUGAAAUGACGUAGAUAUCAGGAGGAACACCGGCGGUGUAGACGGCUUUCUGGACCGUAGCUGACGCUGAGACACGAAAGACGUGGGUAGCAAACAGG